RNAcentral lists this transfer RNA (73 nucleotides) under Camelus bactrianus (Bactrian camel). It matches the Rfam family "tRNA". From Rfam's summary of the family: Transfer RNA (tRNA) molecules are approximately 80 nucleotides in length. Their secondary structure includes four short double-helical elements and three loops (D, anti-codon, and T loops). The record is from Rfam by way of RNAcentral. RNAcentral also lists the same sequence under 1 other name. Lineage: Eukaryota; Metazoa; Chordata; Mammalia; Artiodactyla; Camelidae.
GAGAGUAUAGCUCAAGUGGUAGAGCACAUGCUUAGCAUGCAUGAGGUCCUGGGUUCAAUCCCCAGUACCUUCU